AGAGUUUGAUUCUGGCUCAGAACGUACGCUGGCGGCACGCCUAACACAUGCAAGUCGAACGAAGUAGCAAUACUUAGUGGCAGACGGGUGAGUAACAUGUAGGUAUCUGCCCUUUGGCCUGGAAUAACACGAGGAAACUUGUGCUAAUACCGGAUAAGUCUUUACGGAGAAAGCUUUAUGCACCAUUGGAUGAGCCUGCACUUGAUUAGUUUGUUGGUGGGGUAAUGGCCUACCAAGACUGUGAUCAAUAGCUGAUUUGAGAGGAUGAUCAGCCACAUUGGGACUGAGACACGGCCCAAACUCCUACGGGAGGCAGCAGUGGGGAAUCUUGCACAAUGGAGGAAACUCUGAUGCAGCGAUGCCGCGUGAGUGAAGAAGGCCCUUGGGUUGUAAAGCUCUUUCGUCGGGGAAGAAAAUGACUGUACCCGAAUAAGAAGGUCCGGCUAACUUCGUGCCAGCAGCCGCGGCAAUACGAAGGGACCUAGCGUAGUUCGGAAUUACUGGGCUUAAAGAGUUCGUAGGUGGUUGAAAAAGUUAGUGGUGAAAUCCCAGAGCUUAACUCUGGAACUGCCAUUAAAACUUUUCAGCUAGAGUAUGAUAGAGGAAAGCAGAAUUUCUAGUGUAGAGGUGAAAUUCGUAGAUAUUAGAAAGAAUACCAAUUGCGAAGGCAGCUUUCUGGAUCAUUACUGACACUGAGGAACGAAAGCAUGGGUAGCGAAGAGGAUUAGAUACCCUCGUAGUCCAUGCCGUAAACGAUGUGUGUUAGACGUUGGAAAUUUAUUUUCAGUGUCGCAGGGAAACCGAUAAACACACCGCCUGGGGAGUACGACCGCAAGGUUAAAACUCAAAUGAAUUGACGGGGACCCGCACAAGUAGUGGAGCAUGUGGUUUAAUUCGAAGAUACGCGCAGAACCUUACCAACACUUGACAUGUUCGUCGCGACUCUAAGAGAUUAGAGUUUUCGGUUCGGCCGGACGAAACACAGGUGCUGCAUGGCUGUCGUCAGCUCGUGUCGUGAGAUGUUGGGUUAAGUCCCGCAACGAGCGCAACCCUCACUUUUAGUUGCCAUCAUUAAGUUGGGCACUCUGAAAGAACUGCCAGUGAUAAGCUGGAGGAAGGUGGGGAUGACGUCAAGUCCUCAUGGCCCUUACGUGUUGGGCUACACACGUGCUACAAUGGUAUCUACAACAGGAAGCAAGACUGCGAAGUUAAGCAAAUCCCUAAAAGAUACCUCAGUUCGGAUUGCACUCUGCAACUCGAGUGCAUGAAGCUGGAAUUACUAGUAAUCGUGGAUCAGCGUGCCACGGUGAAUGCGUUCCCGGGUCUUGUACACACCGCCCGUCACACCAUGGGAGUUGGUUCUACCUUAAGGCAAGGUUUCAAACCCUUGACCACGGUAUAGUCAGCGACUGGGGUGAAGUCGUAACAAGGUA
RNAcentral lists this ribosomal RNA (1433 nucleotides) under uncultured bacterium. RNAcentral's name for it is "bacterial SSU rRNA". It matches the Rfam family "Bacterial small subunit ribosomal RNA". The record is from RNAcentral.